UUUAUUUAGAGAGUUUGAUCCUGGCUCAGGAUGAACGCUGGCGGCGUGCUUAACACAUGCAAGUCGAACGAAGCACUU
RNAcentral lists this ribosomal RNA (78 nucleotides) under Blautia tarda. RNAcentral describes it as "partial 16S ribosomal RNA". It matches the Rfam family "Bacterial small subunit ribosomal RNA", at positions 1 to 76 of the family's 1533-position model. Lineage: Bacteria; Bacillati; Bacillota; Clostridia; Lachnospirales; Lachnospiraceae. The record is from RNAcentral.